Long non-coding RNA from Myotis brandtii (Brandt's bat), 468 nucleotides. RefSeq lists it as uncharacterized. The record is from RefSeq and is a predicted model, not a curated record. The transcript has 4 exons. Lineage: Eukaryota; Metazoa; Chordata; Mammalia; Chiroptera; Vespertilionidae.
CAUCACCGCAGGUCCAAUCAGAACCGCGCCCUGACGCUCCCGGCUCCCUGGGUCGGGGCUUGAACAGAGAAGAGAAAGCUCAUUGAAUACAUGCACGAACCUCCGAGGUAGAUGCUGUUGUUCGGGUCACUUCAGAGGAAAAAGAAAACCGAGACUUGGAGAAAUGAAGUCAUCAGGCCAAUAAGUGUCAGAGAUUCGAACUCAGGCCCACCCAGCUCCAUGCCUGUUUCAAAGUCACCAGGGGUCAGGUGAUGGCAUUUGUGAAGAAAUGGAACCCUGGGUCCUCAUGACUGCUGGACGCUCUCAUUUUUUCCCCUGCACUUCCUGACGAUCUUCCUGUACACCCAAGAGGCCUCAGUCCUGGUCCCCAAGAAGACCCCAGCUUGCAGGAAGAAGAGCUGGCCACAGGGGCACCCAGCCUGUGAAGUCAGGGUUGGGCUAGAGCAGGGGUGGGCAAACUUUUUGACU